GAUGAAGAACGCAGCGAAAUGCGAUACGUAAUGUGAAUUGCAGAAUUCAGUGAAUCAUCGAGUCUUUGAACGCACAUUGCGCCCCCUGGUAUUCCGGGGGGCAUGCCUGUUCGAGCGUCAUUUACCCCCUCAAGCUCCGCUUGGUGUUGGGCGUCUGUCCCGCUUCGCGCGCGGACUCGCCCCAAAGGUAUUGGCAGCGGUCGUGCCAGCUUCUCGCGCAGCACAUUGCGCUUCUCGAGGCACCGGUGGGCCCGCGUCCAUCAAGCUCACCCCCCCAGUUUGACCUCGGAUCAGGUAGGGAUACCCGCUGAACUUAAGCAUAUCAAUAAGCGGAGGA
Molecule: unclassified non-coding RNA, 337 nt
Filed under: soil metagenome
Description: partial contains 5.8S ribosomal RNA, internal transcribed spacer 2, and large subunit ribosomal RNA
Rfam family: 5.8S ribosomal RNA (bases 1-120)
Source: RNAcentral